This 253-nucleotide ribosomal RNA is filed under the name uncultured bacterium. RNAcentral's name for it is "partial 16S ribosomal RNA". It matches the Rfam family "Bacterial small subunit ribosomal RNA", at positions 524 to 776 of the family's 1533-position model. The record is from RNAcentral.
UACGCAGGUUGCGAGCGAUGUCAAGAAUUAUUGGGAGUAAUGAGCUCGUAGGCGGUCCGUUAAGUCUGCCGUGAAAACCCGGGGCUCAACCCCGGGCCUGCGGUGGAUAAGGGCGGACUAGAGUCCGGCAGUGGAUACUGGAAUUCCUGGUGUAGCGGUGGAAUGCGCAGAUAUCAGGAGGAACACCGGUGGUGAAGGCGGGUCUGUGGGCCGGAACUGACGAUGAGGAGCGAAAGCGUGGUGAGCGAACAGG